RNAcentral lists this ribosomal RNA (522 nucleotides) under uncultured Campylobacterota bacterium. Its description in RNAcentral is "bacterial SSU rRNA". It matches the Rfam family "Bacterial small subunit ribosomal RNA", at positions 73 to 616 of the family's 1533-position model. Lineage: Bacteria; Pseudomonadati; Campylobacterota. The record is from RNAcentral.
GCCUAGCUUGCUAGGUGGAUUAGUGGCGCACGGGUGAGUAAUAUAUAGAUAACGUGCCUCUUAGUCUGGGAUAGCCAUUGGAAACGAUGAUUAAUACUAGAUAUUCCUUCUAACAAUAAUGUUAGUCGGGAAAGUUUUUCGCUAAGAGAUCGGUCUAUAUCCCAUCAGCUAGUUGGUAGUGUAAGAGACUACCAAGGCAAUGACGGGUAGCGGGUUUGAGAGGAUGAUCCGCCACACUGGUACUGAGACACGGACCAGACUCCUACGGGAGGCAGCAGUGAGGAAUAUUGCACAAUGGAGGAAACUCUGAUGCAGCAACGCCGCGUGGAGGAUGACGCAUUUCGGUGUGUAAACUCCUUUUAUAUGUCAAGAAAAUGACGGUAGCAUAUGAAUAAGCACCGGCUAACUCCGUGCCAGCAGCCGCGGUAAUACGGAGGGUGCAAGCGUUAUUCGGAAUCACUGGGCGUAAAGGACGCGUAGGCGGGAUGCCAAGUCUGAUGUGAAAUCCUAUGGCUUAACCAU